RNAcentral lists this ribosomal RNA (118 nucleotides) under Pteropus alecto (black flying fox). The record is from RNAcentral. Lineage: Eukaryota; Metazoa; Chordata; Mammalia; Chiroptera; Pteropodidae.
GUCUAUAGCCAUGCCACCCUGAACAAGCCCGAUCCUGUCUGAUCUUGGAAGCUAAGCGGGUUGGCCCUGGUAGGUACUUGGAUGGGAGACCACCUACGAAGACCAGCUGCUAUAGGCG